GACCUGGUGGUGUAUGGUGCACACCCACCCAACCUGAAUGAGCUUGCGACUUGAAUUAUGUGGGAGGUCCCCGUUCGAUUCGGGGCCAGGUCA
Molecule: non-coding RNA, 93 nt
Organism: Mycena latifolia
Lineage: Eukaryota; Fungi; Basidiomycota; Agaricomycetes; Agaricales; Mycenaceae
Source: the annotation of a GenBank genome assembly